Molecule: long non-coding RNA, 358 nt
Filed under: Lathyrus oleraceus (garden pea)
Lineage: Eukaryota; Viridiplantae; Streptophyta; Magnoliopsida; Fabales; Fabaceae
Description: Pisum sativum (pea) long non-coding RNA (PSAT_LNC014859)
Source: RNAcentral
AAACAUUCUCUCUCUCUCUCAAUCUUUCACGAGUUUUUGCUCAGAACGUGAAACAUUCUAUUUGCUCUUACUACUGUAAUACUUGCUUUAUCCUAGAAGCACUCUAGAUUACAAACCUUGUUUUUAUCUAAGCUGUUUUAUAUUUCCUCAAGUGACUCUGCGCAGUCUGCAUACUUGAGAGGACUAAGAGAUCUUUCUCUUAGACGUUGGUUGUAAUAAUCUUUCAAGAUUAGUGGAUUAAGUCCUUAUUGAAGGCGAAAUCACCUUGGCCGGGUGGACUGGAGUAGCUUUGUGUUAUAAGCGAACCAGUAUAAAUUCCUUGUGUGGUCUUUGUCUGAAAAAGCGCUUAUUUUCCAAA